Molecule: ribosomal RNA, 528 nt
Filed under: Mantidactylus radaka
Lineage: Eukaryota; Metazoa; Chordata; Amphibia; Anura; Mantellidae
Description: partial 16S ribosomal RNA
Rfam family: Bacterial large subunit ribosomal RNA
Source: RNAcentral
CCAGCCUGCCCAGUGACCUAGUUCAACGGCCACGGUACCCUAACCGUGCGAAGGUAGCAUAAUCACUUGUUCUUUAAAUGAGGACUUGUAUCAACGGCACCACGAGGGCUCUACUGUCUCCUUUCUCUAAUCAGUGAAACUAAUCUCCCCGUGAAGAAGCGGAGAUACCACCAUAAGACGAGAAGACCCCAUGGAGCUUUAAACCCAACUACACCCCUACUUUCCAUACCCACUCAAUCAACAGGACCCUGUACACUUGGUUUUAGGUUGGGGUGACCGCGGAGUAAAAUUAAACCUCCACAAUGAACGAGAAUAAUCUCUUAUCUAAGAACCACACCUCUAAGAAUUAGCACACUAACAUAAAAUGAUCCGAUAAUCGAUCAACGAACCAAGUUACCCUGGGGAUAACAGCGCAAUCCAUUUCAAGAGCCCCUAUCGACAAAUGGGUUUACGACCUCGAUGUUGGAUCAGGAUAUCCCAGUGGUGCAGCAGCUACUAAAGGUUCGUUUGUUCAACGAUUAAAGUCCU